UGUGAACCUAGAAGUACCAUCUCCCC
Molecule: non-coding RNA, 26 nt
Filed under: Homo sapiens (human)
Lineage: Eukaryota; Metazoa; Chordata; Mammalia; Primates; Hominidae
Source: RNAcentral